GGGUUGUGAGGUUAAGCGACUAAGCGUACACGGUGGAUGCCCUGGCAGUCAGAGGCGAUGAAGGACGUGCUAAUCUGCGAUAAGCGUCGGUAAGGUGAUAUGAACCGUUAUAACCGGCGAUUUCCGAAUGGGGAAACCCAGUGUGAUUCGUCACACUAUCAUUAACUGAAUCCAUAGGUUAAUGAGGCGAACCGGGGGAACUGAAACAUCUAAGUACCCCGAGGAAAAGAAAUCAACCGAGAUUCCCCCAGUAGCGGCGAGCGAACGGGGAGCAGCCCAGAGCCUGAAUCAGUGUGUGUGUUAGUGGAAGCGUCUGGAAAGGCGCGCGAUACAGGGUGACAGCCCCGUACACAAAAAUGCACAUGCUGUGAGCUCGAUGAGUAGGGCGGGACACGUGGUAUCCUGUCUGAAUAUGGGGGGACCAUCCUCCAAGGCUAAAUACUCCUGACUGACCGAUAGUGAACCAGUACCGUGAGGGAAAGGCGAAAAGAACCCCGGCGAGGGGAGUGAAAAAGAACCUGAAACCGUGUACGUACAAGCAGUGGGAGCACGCUUAGGCGUGUGACUGCGUACCUUUUGUAUAAUGGGUCAGCGACUUAUAUUCUGUAGCAAGGUUAACCGAAUAGGGGAGCCGAAGGGAAACCGAGUCUUAACUGGGCGUUAAGUUGCAGGGUAUAGACCCGAAACCCGGUGAUCUAGCCAUGGGCAGGUUGAAGGUUGGGUAACACUAACUGGAGGACCGAACCGACUAAUGUUGAAAAAUUAGCGGAUGACUUGUGGCUGGGGGUGAAAGGCCAAUCAAACCGGGAGAUAGCUGGUUCUCCCCGAAAGCUAUUUAGGUAGCGCCUCGUGAAUUCAUCUCCGGGGGUAGAGCACUGUUUCGGCAAGGGGGUCAUCCCGACUUACCAACCCGAUGCAAACUGCGAAUACCGGAGAAUGUUAUCACGGGAGACACACGGCGGGUGCUAACGUCCGUCGUGAAGAGGGAAACAACCCAGACCGCCAGCUAAGGUCCCAAAGUCAUGGUUAAGUGGGAAACGAUGUGGGAAGGCCCAGACAGCCAGGAUGUUGGCUUAGAAGCAGCCAUCAUUUAAAGAAAGCGUAAUAGCUCACUGGUCGAGUCGGCCUGCGCGGAAGAUGUAACGGGGCUAAACCAUGCACCGAAGCUGCGGCAGCGACGCUGAUGCGUUGUUGGGUAGGGGAGCGUUCUGUAAGCCUGUGAAGGUGUGCUGUGAGGCAUGCUGGAGGUAUCAGAAGUGCGAAUGCUGACAUAAGUAACGAUAAAGCGGGUGAAAAGCCCGCUCGCCGGAAGACCAAGGGUUCCUGUCCAACGUUAAUCGGGGCAGGGUGAGUCGACCCCUAAGGCGAGGCCGAAAGGCGUAGUCGAUGGGAAACAGGUUAAUAUUCCUGUACUUGGUGUUACUGCGAAGGGGGGACGGAGAAGGCUAUGUUGGCCGGGCGACGGUUGUCCCGGUUUAAGCGUGUAGGCUGGUUUUCCAGGCAAAUCCGGAAAAUCAAGGCUGAGGCGUGAUGACGAGGCACUACGGUGCUGAAGCAACAAAUGCCCUGCUUCCAGGAAAAGCCUCUAAGCAUCAGGUAACAUCAAAUCGUACCCCAAACCGACACAGGUGGUCAGGUAGAGAAUACCAAGGCGCUUGAGAGAACUCGGGUGAAGGAACUAGGCAAAAUGGUGCCGUAACUUCGGGAGAAGGCACGCUGAUAUGUAGGUGAAGUCCCUCGCGGAUGGAGCUGAAAUCAGUCGAAGAUACCAGCUGGCUGCAACUGUUUAUUAAAAACACAGCACUGUGCAAACACGAAAGUGGACGUAUACGGUGUGACGCCUGCCCGGUGCCGGAAGGUUAAUUGAUGGGGUCAGCGCAAGCGAAGCUCUUGAUCGAAGCCCCGGUAAACGGCGGCCGUAACUAUAACGGUCCUAAGGUAGCGAAAUUCCUUGUCGGGUAAGUUCCGACCUGCACGAAUGGCGUAAUGAUGGCCAGGCUGUCUCCACCCGAGACUCAGUGAAAUUGAACUCGCUGUGAAGAUGCAGUGUACCCGCGGCAAGACGGAAAGACCCCGUGAACCUUUACUAUAGCUUGACACUGAACAUUGAGCCUUGAUGUGUAGGAUAGGUGGGAGGCUUAGAAGUGUGGACGCCAGUCUGCAUGGAGCCGACCUUGAAAUACCACCCUUUAAUGUUUGAUGUUCUAACGUUGACCCGUAAUCCGGGUUGCGGACAGUGUCUGGUGGGUAGUUUGACUGGGGCGGUCUCCUCCUAAAGAGUAACGGAGGAGCACGAAGGUUGGCUAAUCCUGGUCGGACAUCAGGAGGUUAGUGCAAUGGCAUAAGCCAGCUUGACUGCGAGCGUGACGGCGCGAGCAGGUGCGAAAGCAGGUCAUAGUGAUCCGGUGGUUCUGAAUGGAAGGGCCAUCGCUCAACGGAUAAAAGGUACUCCGGGGAUAACAGGCUGAUACCGCCCAAGAGUUCAUAUCGACGGCGGUGUUUGGCACCUCGAUGUCGGCUCAUCACAUCCUGGGGCUGAAGUAGGUCCCAAGGGUAUGGCUGUUCGCCAUUUAAAGUGGUACGCGAGCUGGGUUUAGAACGUCGUGAGACAGUUCGGUCCCUAUCUGCCGUGGGCGCUGGAGAACUGAGGGGGGCUGCUCCUAGUACGAGAGGACCGGAGUGGACGCAUCACUGGUGUUCGGGUUGUCAUGCCAAUGGCACUGCCCGGUAGCUAAAUGCGGAAGAGAUAAGUGCUGAAAGCAUCUAAGCACGAAACUUGCCCCGAGAUGAGUUCUCCCUGACCCUUUAAGGGUCCUGAAGGAACGUUGAAGACGACGACGUUGAUAGGCCGGGUGUGUAAGCGCAGCGAUGCGUUGAGCUAACCGGUACUAAUGAACCGUGAGGCUUAACCUUACAACGCCGAAGCUGUU
RNAcentral lists this ribosomal RNA (2930 nucleotides) under Escherichia coli. RNAcentral's name for it is "bacterial LSU rRNA". It matches the Rfam family "Bacterial large subunit ribosomal RNA". The record is from RNAcentral. Lineage: Bacteria; Pseudomonadati; Pseudomonadota; Gammaproteobacteria; Enterobacterales; Enterobacteriaceae.